UGGGGAUGGGCAGGUCCCUCUAGGAGAGGAAUCUGUGCCCGUGCCAGCCCUGGGCUGGGGGGAACCAGCCUUCCCUCACCCUCCUCCCUUUUAGUCCUUGUUGCCAAAUUGGUUGUGAACAGAAUCCCAAGAUGUGCUGAGCUGGAAGGGACCCCCAAGGAUCAGGGAGUCCAACCCUCAGCCCUGCACAGGCCCAGCCCCAGGAGUCACCCCCUGUGCCCCAGAGGAUUGGCUCUGGAAAGAAGUCCCUGUGAAUGAACAUGCUCACUUCUCCUGUUGUUCAAACCAAAACAAAGCCCAAGCUCUGAGAAAUGAGAGUGACAUUUGCUGUUCGACGCUGGAGGCACAGACUGGAUCUGUUACAUUUCCCAGGAAUUGUGUUUCUGCGCUACAGAUGCGUGAAGGGGAAGAUAAACCUGGGAGCUGCCCUUCCUGCCAAUAGGCUGCAAGCAAGGAGUUGUCAAAAAUAAAUGCAUUACUCAGCUCCUUUGAGGUGCUUA
Lepidothrix coronata (blue-crowned manakin) is the source of this 500-nucleotide long non-coding RNA. RefSeq lists it as uncharacterized. The transcript has 2 exons. The record is from RefSeq and is a predicted model, not a curated record. NCBI's taxonomy places the organism in Eukaryota, Metazoa, Chordata, Aves, Passeriformes, Pipridae.